UUGUAAGUAAUGAAGAGCGUACGGUGGAUGCCUUGGCACCAGGAGCCGAUGAAGGACGUAGGAGGCUGCGAUAAGCCUCGGGGAGCUGUCAACCGAGCUGUGAUCCGAGGAUGUCCGAAUGGGGAAACCCAGCACGAGUGAUGUCGUGUUACCCGCGCCUGAAUAUAUAGGGCGUGUGGAGGGAACGUGGGGAAGUGAAACAUCUCAGUACCCACAGGAAGAGAAAACAACCGUGAUUCCGUGAGUAGUGGCGAGCGAAAGCGGAAGAGGCUAAACCAUGGGUGUGUGAUAGCCGGCAGGUGUUGCAUUCGUGGGGUUGUGGGGUUCAUUUUGUCUGUUCUGCCGAGCAGGCCAACAGUAAGAAAUCACAGGGUUAGUGGAAGUGGUCUGGAACGGCCUGUCGUAGAGGGUGAGAAUCCCGUACACGAAAACUUUGUGACUGUUGUAAUGGAAACCCAAGUAGCACCGGGCCCGUGAAAUCUGGUGUGAAUCUGUCGGGACCACCCGAUAAGCCUGAAUACUCCCUGGUGACCGAUAGCGGACUAGUACCGUGAGGGAAAGGUGAAAAGUACCCCGGGAGGGGAGUGAAAUAGUACCUGAAACCGUGCGCUUACAAUCCGUCAGAGCCUUCGAACAGUUUACUGUUGGGGGUGAUGGCGUGCCUUUUGAAGAAUGAGCCUGCGAGUUAGUGGCAUGUCGCGAGGUUAACCCGUGUGGGGUAGCCGUAGCGAAAGCGAGUCCGAAUAGGGCGAUCGUAGUGGCAUGCUCUAGACCCGAAGCGGAGUGAUCUACCCAUGGCCAGGUUGAAGCGACGGUAAGACGUCGUGGAGGACCGAACCCACUUAGGUUGAAAACUGAGGGGAUGAGUUGUGGGUAGGGGUGAAAGGCCAAUCAAACUCCGUGAUAGCUGGUUCUCCCCGAAAUGCAUUUAGGUGCAGCGUCGCGUGUUUCUCACCGGAGGUAGAGCUACUGGAUGGUCUAGGGGGCCCACAAGCUUACCGAAAUCAGCCAAACUCCGAAUGCCGGUGAGUGAGAGCGCGGCAGUGAGACUGCGGGCGAUAAGGUUCGUAGUCGAGAGGGAAACAGCCCAGAUCGCCAGCUAAGGUCCCUAAGCGUGUACUAAGUGGAAAAGGAUGUGGGGUCGCGAAGACAACCAGGAGGUUGGCUUAGAAGCAGCCACCCUUGAAAGAGUGCGUAAUAGCUCACUGGUCAAGUGAUCCUGCGCCGACAAUGUAGCGGGGCUCAAGUACACCACCGAAGCUGCGGCAUUCACGCAAUAGCCCCCCUUCACUCUGCGGAGUGUUGGGCAGGUGUGUGGAUGGGUAGGGGAGCGUCGUGUGGCCAUGGAAGCGGCAGGGUGACCUAGCCGUGGAGGCCACACGAGUGAGAAUGCAGGCAUGAGUAGCGAAAGACGAGUGAGAAACUCGUCCGCCGAAUGACCAAGGGUUCCUGGGCCAGGUUAAUCCGCCCAGGGUGAGUCGGGACCUAAGACGAGGCCGACAGGCGUAGCCGAUGGACAACGGGUUGAUAUUCCCGUACCCGUGUGAACGCGCCCAUGGUGAAUCAGUGAUACUAACCAUCCUGAAGCCACGAGAAGACCUUCGGGUCUCGAGUUGGUGGAUGCAUGGGACCUGAUCUGGUAGUAGCCAAGCGAUGGGGUGACGCAGGAAGGUAGCUGAGCCAGUCAGUGGUAAUACUGGUGUAAGCGUGUAGGGCGUGACCUAGGCAAAUCCGGGUCACACAUAGCCUGAGACGUGAUGCGUAGCCGAUUGAGGCGAAUUCAGUGAUCCUAUGCUGCCGAGAAAAGCCUCUAGCGAGCUUUCACACGGCCCGUACCCCAAACCGACACAGGUGGUCAGGUAGAGAAUACUAAGGCGAUCGAGAUAACUAUGGUUAAGGAACUCGGCAAAAUGCCCCCGUAACUUCGGGAGAAGGGGGGCCCUGU
This 1945-nucleotide ribosomal RNA is filed under the name Rhodococcus erythropolis. RNAcentral describes it as "partial 23S ribosomal RNA". It matches the Rfam family "Bacterial large subunit ribosomal RNA", at positions 1 to 1756 of the family's 2925-position model. The record is from RNAcentral. RNAcentral also lists the same sequence under 1 other name. Lineage: Bacteria; Bacillati; Actinomycetota; Actinomycetes; Mycobacteriales; Nocardiaceae.